RNAcentral lists this ribosomal RNA (466 nucleotides) under uncultured bacterium. Its description in RNAcentral is "partial 16S ribosomal RNA". It matches the Rfam family "Bacterial small subunit ribosomal RNA", at positions 28 to 506 of the family's 1533-position model. The record is from RNAcentral.
GAUGAACGCUGGCGGCGUGCUUAACACAUGCAAGUCGAACGGAAAGGCCCAAGCUUGCUUGGGUACUCGAGUGGCGAACGGGUGAGUAACACGUGGGUGAUCUGCCCUGCACUUCGGUAUAAGCCUGGGAAACUGGGUCUAAUACCGGAUAGGACCACUUCUUGGAUGGUGUGGUGGAAAGUUUUUUCGGUGUGGGAUGAGCUCGCGGCCUAUCAGCUUGUUGGUGGGGUAAUGGCCUACCAAGGCGUCGACGGGUAGCCGGCCUGAGGGGGUGUACGGCCCAAUUGGGAUGGAGAUACGGCCCAGCCCCCUACGGGAGGCAGCAGUGGGGAAUAUUGACCAAGGGGCGCAAGCCUGAUGCAGCGACGCCGCGUGGGGGAUGACGGCCUUCGGGUUGUAACCGCCUUUCGCUAGGGACGAAGCGUUUUGUGACGGUACCUGGAGAAGAAGCACCGGCUAACUACGU